Long non-coding RNA from Dermochelys coriacea (leatherback sea turtle), 2037 nucleotides. RefSeq lists it as uncharacterized. The transcript has 3 exons. Lineage: Eukaryota; Metazoa; Chordata; Testudines; Dermochelyidae. The record is from RefSeq and is a predicted model, not a curated record.
GUUGUUGGGUACAGGGCCCUGGGCCGCUCCCAAAGUCUGGGUGGGACUGGUUUUCCCUACUGGCCGCAAAGAAUGGGGCGUACACGCACCCGGAGAGGGUUACCAAGCCCAGCAAGGGGGCUGCAGGCUGAGCAAGAGCCUCAGUGAUGGCAGAAGGACUUCUUUCUGUGGAAAGACCUCUUUGGACUUUUAGUGUGAGACAAGCUGGGCCCCAGAAGGGUGGACUAACGGUGGUGACCUAGCUGGAGGGCUGAGUUACCAGGCAGAGAAACUGCCAUGGUGCUGGAGCGACCAUUGAGGGGUGACGCUAGCCCAGCGAGAGGGCUGUGAUUCCAUGUCUGGCCAGCAGCGGGGCAUGUAACUCCCAGUAGAUUUGUUUCUGAUUGGCAUAGCCAGGAGGAUUGAAUUCCCCCUGUGAUCCAUGAGGGCUGAUGGAAGUCUUGGAUGCUGAAGGAAGGUCUGUCCUCCCAAGCGGGUGUCUCAAGGGACUGAGCUGGUCACUGGAUUUCCCACUUCAGUUCCCGGGACAAUUUAAACAGCCAAAGCAAAUCUAGGGGUUUCUCCAGCAGCUCCUAGAAAACCAACAGAAGCAGAAGGAAGUAUAGGUGGAGCUACAGACGCAGCAGCAGCAAUAGUUGUGAGAGAUCCUGCAAAGGGAAAUCAACCCAGGGUCUGCUAUGCCCAUGGACAAAAAGAGCAGACACGGAGAGCAUGCCUGGGCUGUGCUGAGAAGGUUAGCCCAGGAGAUCAGGGCAUGAGAAAGUGUAGAAGCGUGGCCUAAUGCCAAGAUGGGGACAAGACCUUGCAGACCCUCCACCCACAAACUCUGUCAGAUGCUGCAGGGAAGUGAAGGACGAAAUGGUUGGCACAGAGAUGAAGCAGACUGAAGUCGGGUCAAACACAAGGGCGGAACAGUCCAUGGUGGGUUCUCAGACCCUGACGGAAAAGGUUUUGGCGUAUGCAGCGGCAGUAGCAAAAAGGCUACAGAAGAAGCUAGUGGCUUCAGAACAGACUCUGCAAGCAGCGGUUAAUGAGAAUGAGUGGUUGCAGGAAGAGCACUGGGGCACUGCGGAAGAGAAGGAUGGCCUCUUUAUUCUGGGGAGCGAGCGGGCAGUGGAGCUGGAGACACUGUGCGUGCAGGCUGUACAAGCACGUAGCCGGUGACAGCGACGAGAUGACGAGGGAUGAAGCUUGGACAAGAAUAGAACUUGCCCCCCGUGUGGGCCAGGUUCUAAGGAGGAGGCCUUUCACACAGAUGUAUCGUGCAGCCAGCGCAGUUCAGGGAGCAGUGAAGACAGGUGAUCUCAUCCUGUCAAACCAAGCAACAUGAGUCUCAUUGAGGCUCAGAUGGAAGAUCCCAUGCACCUCCUGGAGAGGAUGUGUCCAGGAUCCUGGAUAAUGUUUUCUGCAGGAGGAGAGAUCAAUCCGGAUCUGCAGGGUUCAUGGGAACAGCCACACUCCAACCCUCCACCUGGAAGCCUGCUGAAAAUUGCUUACCUAGGACCCAUGAAGUUCAGCCCCAGUUUGAGGCUCCACUCCUGAGGUCCUAUUGGAGGAGUCCCAGAGAAGCUAAUUGGCCCUCUGGCCCUGUGUAAGGAAGCAGCAGGAACAGGAAGCUGACUGGACACCAGGGCUGCUCCCUGUUCUGGACCGUGUGCUGCUUGUUUCUGCUGCCACUCCCCUGGCUUGAUUUUCUGGCAUCUGAUUUGUGGUUGUGAUCACAAAUUUGUCUUUUGCUUCUGAUCUUCCAGUAUCCUGACUCAGAUGACUCUUGACUCCUGUCAUGUGAGUGUGGUAGGUCUGGCUACCCUUGACCCAGCUGUGACAUUGACUUUUGUACAAUAUCUCCAAUGCGCUUUUUUGCUGUCCAGCAAGAUACACCAGUACCUUGGCUCCCAAAGUCCUAAUUGCCUGCUAUUCAAGGGCUGAAGGGUAGUGCUUGUAUUGCCCUCCCAGCUUCUUUUCCUAUGGGAAUCUCCCUAGAGCAGAGGAGAAAUCUGCUCUUCUCUUUGGAUCAGUCCCAGCAAUAAUUCCACC